Non-coding RNA from Paramuricea clavata, 211 nucleotides. NCBI's taxonomy places the organism in Eukaryota, Metazoa, Cnidaria, Anthozoa, Malacalcyonacea, Plexauridae. The record is from the annotation of a GenBank genome assembly.
GGGAAAACCUUAAAAAGCCAUCCCAGUUAUAACCAGAUGUUCUUUAAUUAAAAGUUUGCGCAAAGACGUGAGGUGUAUUCAUUAUCAUUUUUAUUUUGCUGUUCUAAUAUUUAUUUUUCUGUACUACAAACUAGGCACAACGUGUAUUCAAAUACGUAACAUAUCAACUAUCAAGUAAUUAAAGCAACAAAGUCCUGCCUAUAGUAUGAUU